This 441-nucleotide ribosomal RNA is filed under the name uncultured bacterium. Its description in RNAcentral is "partial 16S ribosomal RNA". It matches the Rfam family "Bacterial small subunit ribosomal RNA", at positions 338 to 795 of the family's 1533-position model. The record is from RNAcentral.
CCUACGGGAGGCAGCAGUGAGGAAUAUUGGUCAAUGGGGGAAACCCUGAUGCAGCGACGCCGCGUGAGUGAAGAAGUAUUUCGGUAUGUAAAGCUCUAUCAGCAGGGAAGAAGCAAGACGGUACCUGACUAAGAAGCCCCGGCUAACUACGUGCCAGCAGCCGCGGCAAUCCGAAGGGGGCAAGCGUUAUCCGGAUUUACUGGGUGUAAAGGGAUCGUAGACGGUAAUGCAAGUCGGAAGUGAAUGCCCAGGGCUUAACCCUGGGACUGCAUUGGAAACUGUUAGACUAGAGUGUUGGAGAGGUAAGUGGAAUACCUAGUGUAGCGGUGAAAUGCGUAGAUAUUAGGAGGAACACCAGUGGCGAAGGCGGCUUACUGGACAGUAACUGACGUUGAGGCUCGAAAGCGUGGGGAGCAAACAGGAUUAGAUACCCGAGUAGUC